This 370-nucleotide ribosomal RNA is filed under the name uncultured bacterium. RNAcentral's name for it is "bacterial SSU rRNA". It matches the Rfam family "Bacterial small subunit ribosomal RNA", at positions 527 to 896 of the family's 1533-position model. The record is from RNAcentral.
GUAGGGUGCGAGCGUUAAUCGGAAUUACUGGGCGUAACGCGUGCGCAGGCGGUUUUGUAAGCCAGAUGUGAAAUCCCCGGGCUUAACCUGGGAAUGGCAUUUGGGACUGCAAGGCUGGAGUGCGGCAGAGGAGACUGGAAUUCCUGGUGUAGCAGUGAAAUGCGUAGAUAUCAGGAGGAAUACCGAUGGCGAAGGCAGGUCUCUGGGCUGACACUGACGCUCAUGCACGAAAGCGUGGGGAGCAAACAGGAUUAGAUACCCUGGUAGUCCACGCCCUAAACGAUGUCGACUGGUUGUUGGGGGUUUGACACUCUCAGUAACGAAGCUAACGCGUGAAGUCGACCGCCUGGGGAGUACGGCCGCAAGGUUA